GCCGGGCGUGGUGGCGCAUGCCUGUAGUCCCAGCCACUCGGGAGGCUGAGGCAGGAGAAUCACUUGAACCCAGGAGGCAGAGGUUGCAGUGAGCCGAGAUCGCGCCACUGCGCUCCAGCCUGAGUGACAGAGCGAGACUCUGUCUCAA
This 148-nucleotide small RNA is filed under the name Papio anubis (olive baboon). RNAcentral's name for it is "Metazoan signal recognition particle RNA (ENSPANG00000042286.1)". The record is from Rfam by way of RNAcentral. Lineage: Eukaryota; Metazoa; Chordata; Mammalia; Primates; Cercopithecidae.